GAUAAACUAAAGGUCAUAGUGUAUGUUCAGACUCAACAACAGCAAUAUGAAGGUUUUUCUUGUUUUAACUGUACUUUUUGCCCUGGCAGCAUGUGAGACAUGUGACGAUGAUGCAGAUGACUGUGAUUUAUUCCAAUGUGUUAACGGUACGAGUAAAAGAUGUAUAAAUAACAUAUGUACAUGUGUUUCAAGGUGUGAUAACGAUCAAGAAAAGUGUGAGUCGGCGUCUCAUUGUCAACACGAUGCCGACAAACAUGGGUGUCAGUGUAGCAGUAGUUACCACUGUAUUGACAGAUAUUGUCAUUGUGGAUUCCCAGCUAUGUCCACUCAAGCGCCUAUUGGUUAAACUCACAUACUGUAAUAAACUUCAUUUUAGAACAA
Molecule: long non-coding RNA, 381 nt
Organism: Patella vulgata (common limpet)
Lineage: Eukaryota; Metazoa; Mollusca; Gastropoda; Patellidae
Exons: 3
Source: RefSeq, a predicted model, not a curated record